UACUACAUAAAACGACCGCGUUUAUUUAUCAUAAUAUCACCGACGAAUUUAGCAUGUACCCAUUUUCUCUCUCCGUUUUUCGCAACCAUAGAGAAUCACCGGCGCCACCACCACCUCUGCUUCUUCGUCCUCUCCUUUCUCGCCUCCUUCACCAUGGCCACACUCUCAGCUCCUCCUCCUCAUCGGAUGACGAUCUCUUCCGUCGGAGACUACAACCAUUGUUUACAUCCACGUCAUUGAAGAUGUAAUCGAGAAAGUUCGCGAAGAGUUCGUCGUUAAUGGUGGUCCCGGCGAAAAAGUUCUCUAAGAACUUCAAGGACUGCGGGAGUUGAAAAUGAUUCAAGCUGGAGCAGUAUUGCAGCCGAGGGAGAGGUCGUUGGUGCCCAAGCCGGCUCCGAGAGCUGGCAUAACGUUGUUCAUGGUUUGAAUGUGCCAUAUGAAGGAACUGAAGAGUAUGCUUUUCCCCCCUAAAUUUAUCAAGGAGGAAAAAAGAUAGAGUCGAAGAAAUGGAGGAGAAGUUGGUGAGCUCAAUCUGUUUGCAAUUGAUGGCAGAAAAUUUAUUGACGAGGAGGGGCAAAUAAGAAUUAUUAAGAUAGAGAAAAUUUGCUGAUGAGAGAGAAAGAAACAUAGAGGAAAGGGAAACAUAGAAGAAUAAAAAGAUUCAUCAAUUUUCAUAUUUUUUAUUUGUUUAUUUUCCGAAUGAUAAUUUUCUACCGAAAUGUAGCGUAGUUAUUAAACUUGUGCGGACGUACUAGAGUUUGUGAUAUAUUAAUUAAUAUUACUUAAUUAGUCUGAAUUAUUAUUUCUCAAAAAACAA
Molecule: long non-coding RNA, 817 nt
Organism: Spinacia oleracea (spinach)
Lineage: Eukaryota; Viridiplantae; Streptophyta; Magnoliopsida; Caryophyllales; Amaranthaceae
Exons: 4
Source: RefSeq, a predicted model, not a curated record